This is a long non-coding RNA of Ornithodoros turicata, 174 nucleotides long. RefSeq lists it as uncharacterized. NCBI's taxonomy places the organism in Eukaryota, Metazoa, Arthropoda, Arachnida, Ixodida, Argasidae. The record is from RefSeq and is a predicted model, not a curated record. The transcript has 3 exons.
GUUGCCUGGGGGUGCUUUUAUGUGUGCACCCUGGAAGAUAGGUCCAGAAGCCUUGCGAUUUCUUAGAUUAAAGCUAAGUGUACUCGUGACCCUACCAGCACUUUUCAAGAUACUUUCGACGUAUUCAUUGCGGUGAACAACGCGGUUGGGACAGCACACUCACGACGUGGGAAG